UGAGUGCCCCCCUGCAGCCUCUUUUUCCCUGAAAGGAAUCCUUCCCCAAGGAUGUAUUUACCCUGGUGUUCCUUACUGCUCCUCCACAGGGGCUCUGGGGGCUGCAGGUGCUGUCCCUCUGCACUGCCCCUGCUUGAAGCUGCCUUCCUCUGCCUUGUCUGCUCCUCACCUCUGGAGCCCUGAGCACUGCUAAGGCCAUGCUGAUGGUCCCCCUGAUCCCAGGCGGAUGGGAACAUAAGGGCCUCAUUCAGCUUCAGCCAAUGUGGCAAGAUGUGACUUCUGGGCUAGGAUGGGCUCCCUAAUUAUUGAGUAAUGAGUCUAAGGUGUUUGAAUCCCAGUAACUGUUAGAGAUGGUUUUGUGUAGCCCUGAGCCACCCUCUUUACCAUCUUGCUGAAACAAGUGUGCAGCAUGCAGGUUCUGGAGAUAACUGGACAUUUUGGAAACCUCCAUUCUUCUGCAGAACUUGUAGUGUUUCCAUCUUUCCCUGCCCUUGCCUUACUCCUGUCUCUUUCCAUCUACUGUGACUGUUUUCUAUUUUUACUCUUGACAAAGGGUUGUGGGCUUAGAGGCUGCUCAUGUAGCUGUAGAUGUAAAAUGCCUGCUGUGUGGUGUUUGUCAUGAAAGAACCACCCCUGGAAAUUAAGUAAUCCACAGACCCAACUCAUUAACUCUGCAGCUGUGCUGUGGAGGAGCCUCUGUGUGGUUCCUGUGCCGAGGACACUGGGCUGGGGGAGAGGGGUGGAAGAGAGGUGGAGAGACCUCUGUCUGUGAUCCCAGCCCUUCUCCUAGCCCGUGCCAUGGUUAGCAAGUCAUUUCCCACCUCUGUCCCCCUUUCCUGUGCCCUUGAUCUCUUCUCCAGCUCAGCUGAUCAGGGCAGGAGCUGUUUCUCAUUGUGCCUUGCACAGGGAGGCCUUGACCUUGGUAGGGGCACUAAUCACUCCUGUUGUGGAAACAAUAAGUACUGGAGAGACAAAGAGUUAUGGAGGCAGAUAGCUCCAGAUGUCAGUCUGUUUCCGUGUGGAUGUCCUCCCUUUACUACCUCUGCCUCCAGGAGGACAGCAGCACGGCUUUGAGAAGUGCAGGUUGAUUCCUCUUCCAUCUCUUCUUUUCUCAGGCCCAAACCCAGUUCCACCUGGAGCCAGUAGCAAUAUUCCUGGCAGAAACACACUGGAAAUGGACCAGGUUUUUCCACCUUAUGCAGCACAGUUUAACAUCAGCCCACAUGUUUGGAGUACACUGGAAGCCAGAUGAGGACACAGAAGUUUUCCAGCUCAUUAUACCAGGGCCAGCAAUAUUCUUCAGUGUCAACAGGGGCUUGGCAGGCAAGGACAUUUUGACUGAUCAAACCCCAGGGAACAGAGCUGGCCACCAGCUGCAGGAGAGAAUCACUGAGAUCAAACCAAGGCUUUGGAGCGAAGGAGGGCAGCUCCAGCCCAGCUCCGCCUGCUGGUUACAACCACAGCCGGCACCACCUCACGGCAUGACACCACCGGGAAACAAUGCAGGGCCAGGGAACAGCCCCCUCCGGCUCAGGGCGCUCCGGGAUACCUCUGCUGCAGCCUCCCUCCUCUCACCGCACUCCUCGGAGCAUCCUCUGCCUCCAGCAGGACGGGCUGAACCCGGCCCGACCGGGCACUGUCACCCCAGAGAGCAACAGCACCUGAAAAUCACAGCAUCCGCUCUGAAAUACGGCUUAAAAACACACACAUGAUGACUUCAGGGCUCUUUUCUGCUAUUCUGGUGUCAGGGCCUUUCAUGAGCUACAAAAGUUACUUUUCCUCUUUUAGUGAAGGCUGAUCUUCUUGCAUAAUUGAAGACCAGGGACUUCAAGGAAAAUAACAGAUGGCUUGAAAAUUGGCAAUAAUGGGAUUCCUGAGAUUUUCUUGAGAAUAUUUUGUCUGAGGUCUGACCAGGAAUGAAACCUCUCUAGCAGGGAUAUUAGAUGGUCUGUAUUGACAAGGGGAAAUACUGAUGGGGUUGAGCAAAAGACUCUCCAGAGCACUGCAAAAUGAACCACUUCAGGACAUUUACUCCAAAAGACAGAGUGACAGGCAGCAAAUAAGAGCAGUCUACACAUCAUGAGACAGGAUAUGUGUGCAUAGACAACCACAGAAAGCCAUGCAAGUUCAGGGUAGCAGAGCAGACACAAAAGUGCAGCUUUUGGAACAGCCUGGGCAUUGAGAAGAAAAGUGCUGGGCAAGGCAGAGAAGCAUAGAUCAGAAGAGAUAUGGAUGGUUUCUGCACAGGUACAGGUGAACCACCCCUUCUUUUUCAGCAUUGUGAACUUCCAUGUGCCUGUUUCCUUGGACAUCUCGUCUUUCUCCAGCUGGGAAUUUGCUUGGGAUGAAAUCUCAAUAGUGCAUAUGCUUAUCCAGAAUUUCCACAUGCCCAUCAGGCCCUUCAGAUAGUUGGACUGCUGAACAUCCAGAAAUUCAGGAUAGGUUGACUGCACACUGGGGAGGUGAACUCUAUAGUAUUCAUACACUAUGUCUAAUGAAUCCAAAAAUUGUCAGACCUGCUGUGCAGAUGCUGUGAAGAUGAUCUGCAUAUGUACAGCCUGCCCAGCGUGCUCUGAAGGUGUCUGCUCUACCCUGUACUCACAGAACAUCUAUAUGGUGCAGGUGUAUGUAUUCCUACUUGGAAAAUGGGAUAAACAUGGGGUUUAUUUUAUACAUUCUUGGUGUAUUUGUAGAGGAGGGAACAGCUUCAGUGCAGGCAGGGAAACUCAGGUAUAUUCCCUGUAUAUGGGGGUCAGACUCUCCUAUCCCGUGCUGUUUGUUUUACAGAGCUGGGGUUGGGGUUAUUUAAGACAUUGUACAUGCACAUAGUGAAAAGGGGUAAUUUUUCCUGCUGCCCCCCAAACCUUCCAUCAUGAUCUAAACUUACAGAAGUGCAAGAAAGGGACAUCACAAUUCUUACUUGAGAGAUGAGCCAAAUAAAGAGAAGCUCCUAGUCUCCUAAAGCAGGACCCAGGUGGAGUUUAGACACCUGAGUGCAAAAUGUGAUCCUGCAAAUCCUUGUUUAACUCAUGUCAUGUGUUUGGGAUGCCCAGACCCCUCACACCCACCAGAUUUGACAAUGAGGCAGGAAUCAGCAUCCUGGCUGUUUGAGCUUUGGGCAGAGAGCAGGGGGAAGCCCAUGCUCUAGUCCACCCCUGGGUGACCAUUUCUAACUUUUUUCCUCAUGUCUCUUUAACCAGAAAUUCAUAAGUAGGAGCUGGGCAAAGGGACCCACGUUUUCCUUCAUACAUGGAGUGCCAUGAGAUCAAUGAGAUUAAACAUGUGCUUACAUGCCGGCCUGAAUUGCGGCCAUGAGAGCAAUGGGAAAGUAAACAGAAGGGAAACGUUAUGGAAAUGAAGGAAGAGGGAAAAUCCACCCUGCCAAGAGCAGCAGCUCUCAGCAGCUACAAGAAGAUAUGGCCUCACCCAGUGCUGAUUAGGCUUUAGGAAGUCCAGGGACUGGAAAAGAAGACCAAGUCAUCUUCAUCAAAGUUGAAAAGCAACUCAAAAGAGUGAGAUUUGGAGAAGUGGAGAAAGGCUAUGGGCUGGGCACAGCCAUUCCCAGAGAAGAUGAGCUUAGCUUAAGUUGUUUCACACCAUUAGCAGAAUGUGGAUCCCUGAAAAGAUCAGGCUUCAACCUGUGACAAUACAGGGAGGCUUUUUUCCCUUUAAAGGCUCCAAAACCUGGAGAUGAAUGUCAGGCUCUGCAGAAUCCUGUGCACCAGCUGGCACAGCUGCUGCCCUGUGUCCUAUUGCAGAGACUGGGAGAUGAAGCUGGACAUGAUGACUACUCUGUCCAUAACCUGGCUUUGCUUCCAACAGGCUGAGUGUGGCAGUCAUCCUUUCUGGAGGACCUGCAGAGCCAGCUCCCAGCACCUGCCAACGUGAGAGAGCUUGAGCAGCCUGUUUGGGGGGUUCACUGACACCGUGGCCAAAGCUUUGGUGUGACAGUGCCCUACCAACUCUCAAGUGCCUGACUGCAAGUGGUUGAUUUGGUUUUCCUGCAGGUCAGAUUCCAGACUCUGCAUUCUUCCACCUUUGUAUAUCCUUCACAUAGCCUGCAAACCUUUCACCCAGAUCUCUUGGAGCUAUCCUGCUCUUCCAGCUGGGAAAUUUGUAGGUGUGUCUCUGAUUUUCCAGCCUUCUCUCCUGGCUUUGGUCUUCCCCUUCUCCUUUCUCCUUAGUCAACCUUGGUUGUAGUCUUUCCUCACCACUUGACCUCUAUUUCUCUUUCCUGGGAAGAACCUCAUUUGCAUCUGUCCUAGUAUCCAAGCUACAAAUUAGACCUGGUUAAAAUUUCUUUCAGCAAAACUGCGACUUGAAUAAAACUUCUUUUGAGUUUUGGGGGAAUUAUAGGAGCUCUGUUUCUGGGAAGUGGAUUUUCUGUUGAGCACUUGAGUUCAAAAAUGUGCAUUCUCCCUUCUGUUACAGGUUCAGAAGACGACCUUGAGUAGGUCACUUCAUCUGCCCGAAUGUUUUAUCACUUGUUAAAUUUAGAUUAAAAUACUAGUCUGGGUUAGUAAAAUGUCUUUGAGAUCAUUGGACAACAAAAGCUAUUCAACUGGUGAUUAUUAUGAUUAUUAUA
Molecule: long non-coding RNA, 4585 nt
Organism: Oenanthe melanoleuca
Lineage: Eukaryota; Metazoa; Chordata; Aves; Passeriformes; Muscicapidae
Exons: 4
Source: RefSeq, a predicted model, not a curated record